ACACGACUCUCGGCAACGGAUAUCUCGGCUCUCGCAUCGAUGAAGAACGUAGCGAAAUGCGAUACCUGGUGUGAAUUGCAGAAUCCCGCGAACCAUCGAGUCUUUGAACACAAGUUGCGCCCGAGGCCACUCGGCCGAGGGCACGCCUGCCUGGGCGUCACGC
RNAcentral lists this ribosomal RNA (163 nucleotides) under Hordeum vulgare subsp. spontaneum. Its description in RNAcentral is "5.8S ribosomal RNA". It matches the Rfam family "5.8S ribosomal RNA". From Rfam's summary of the family: 5.8S ribosomal RNA (5.8S rRNA) is a component of the large subunit of the eukaryotic ribosome. It is transcribed by RNA polymerase I as part of the 45S precursor that also contains 18S and 28S rRNA. Functionally, it is thought that 5.8S rRNA may be involved in ribosome translocation. The record is from RNAcentral. Lineage: Eukaryota; Viridiplantae; Streptophyta; Magnoliopsida; Poales; Poaceae.